RNAcentral lists this ribosomal RNA (1339 nucleotides) under marine metagenome. Its description in RNAcentral is "bacterial LSU rRNA". It matches the Rfam family "Bacterial large subunit ribosomal RNA", at positions 1158 to 2487 of the family's 2925-position model. The record is from RNAcentral.
CCUGCGCGGAAGAUGUAACGGGGCUAAAUUGGUAACCGAAGCUGCGGAUGCGUGCUUGCACGCAUGGUAGAGGAGCGUUCUGUAAGCCGUUGAAGGUGAACCGAGAGGUUUGCUGGAGGUAUCAGAAGUGCGAAUGCUGACAUGAGUAACGACAAGGGGAGUGAAAAACUCCCCCGCCGGAAGAUCAAGGUUUCCUACGCAACGCUAAUCGGCGUAGGGUGAGUCGGCCCCUAAGGCGAGGGAGAAAUCCGUAGUCGAUGGGAAACAGGUUAAUAUUCCUGUACUUUUUCUUACUGCGAUGGAGGGACGGAGAAGGCUAAAUCAGCACGGCGAUGGUUGUCCGUGUUUAAGGUAGUAGGCUGGAAUCUUAGGUAAAUCCGGGGUUCUAAGGCCGAGAACUGAUGACGAGUCCUCUUUUGGACGAAGUGAUUGAUGCCAUGCUUCCAGGAAAAGCUUCUAAGCUUCAGGUAAGAAAGAACCGUACUGUAAACCGACACAGGUGAUCAGGUAGAGAAUACCAAGGCGCUUGAGAGAACUCGGGUGAAGGAACUAGGCAAAAUGGUACCGUAACUUCGGGAGAAGGUACGCCGGUUUUGGUGAUGAGACUUGCUCUCUAAGCUGAGGCCGGCCGAAGUGACCAGUUGGCUGCGACUGUUUAUUAAAAACACAGCACUCUGCAAACACGAAAGUGGACGUAUAGGGUGUGACGCCUGCCCGGUGCCGGAAGGUUAAUUGAUGGGGUUAUCUUCGGAGAAGCUCUUGAUCGAAGCCCCGGUAAACGGCGGCCGUAACUAUAACGGUCCUAAGGUAGCGAAAUUCCUUGUCGGGUAAGUUCCGACCUGCACGAAUGGCGUAACGAUGGCCACACUGUCUCCACCCGAGACUCAGUGAAAUUGAAAUCGCUGUUAAGAUGCAGUGUACCCGCGGCUAGACGGAAAGACCCCGUGAACCUUUACUAUAGCUUCACACUGGACUUUGACCUUACUUGUGUAGGAUAGGUGGGAGACUUUGAAGCGUGAUCGCUAGAUUGCGUGGAGUCAUCCUUGAAAUACCACCCUGGUAAUGUUGAGGUUCUAACUUGGCUCCUGAAACGGGAGUGAGGACAGUGUGUGGUGGGUAGUUUGACUGGGGCGGUCUCCUCCUAAAGAGUAACGGAGGAGCACGAAGGUACCCUAAGAGCGGUCGGAAAUCGCUCGUUUAGUGUAAUGGCAUAAGGGUGCUUGACUGCGAGAGUGACAACUCGAGCAGGUGCGAAAGCAGGUCAUAGUGAUCCGGUGGUUCUGAAUGGAAGGGCCAUCGCUCAACGGAUAAAAGGUACUCCGGGGAUAACAGGCUGAUA